Molecule: long non-coding RNA, 110 nt
Organism: Corvus hawaiiensis (hawaiian crow)
Lineage: Eukaryota; Metazoa; Chordata; Aves; Passeriformes; Corvidae
Exons: 2
Source: RefSeq, a predicted model, not a curated record
UUCAUGGUCAGCGUCACCGAGCUCUGCCCGUUGUCCCUGGAGAUCGUGAACCGGCCCUCGACCGACGGCGCGUAGCCGGUGCUGCUGCCAUCGCUGUUGAUAGCUGCGAU